Molecule: ribosomal RNA, 388 nt
Filed under: uncultured bacterium
Lineage: Bacteria
Description: bacterial SSU rRNA
Rfam family: Bacterial small subunit ribosomal RNA
Source: RNAcentral
GACGAACGCUGGCGGCGUGCCUAACACAUGCAAGUGGAGCGACGAACCAGGCUUCGGCCUGGGGCAAAGCCGCGAACGGGUGAGUAACACGUGGGUAACCUGCCCUGAUGAUUGGGACAACCCGAGGAAACUCGGGCUAAUACCAAAUGUGCCCUUCGGCCAUAAGGCCGCCGGGAAGGAAGCUUCGGCCUCCGCAUCUGGAUGGGCCCGCGGCCAUUAGCUUGUUGGUGAGGUAACGGCUCACCAAGGCGACGAUGGGUAGCUGGUCUGAGAGGACGAUCAGCCACACUGGGACUGAGACACGGCCCAGACUCCUACGGGAGGCAGCAGUGGGGAAUCUUGCGCAAUGCGCGAAAGCGUGACGCAGCAACGCCGCGUGGGGAAGAAG